Molecule: transfer RNA, 72 nt
Organism: Ovis aries (sheep)
Lineage: Eukaryota; Metazoa; Chordata; Mammalia; Artiodactyla; Bovidae
Rfam family: tRNA
About the family: Transfer RNA (tRNA) molecules are approximately 80 nucleotides in length. Their secondary structure includes four short double-helical elements and three loops (D, anti-codon, and T loops). Further hydrogen bonds mediate the characteristic L-shaped molecular structure. tRNAs have two regions of fundamental functional importance: the anti-codon, which is responsible for specific mRNA codon recognition, and the 3' end, to which the tRNAs corresponding amino acid is attached (by aminoacyl-tRNA synthetases). tRNAs cope with the degeneracy of the genetic code in two manners: having more than one tRNA (with a specific anti-codon) for a particular amino acid; and 'wobble' base-pairing, i.e. permitting non-standard base-pairing at the 3rd anti-codon position.
Source: Rfam
UCCUUAGUAGCUCAGAUGGUAAAGCAUAUGCCUGCAAUGCAGAAGACCUGGGUUCAAUCACCAGGUUGGGAA